GCAAUCGACUUUAAGUGACAAAUGCUCUCAAACAGCCUGCCAUCGUGAGAUAAUAUAUCAAGUUUCCUCGGACAAAAACUGAGCAUGUAGAAGUCUCCAGAGGUUUUAAUGACAAAUUUGGAUUUCUUGGAGUACUUGGAUGCAUCCACGGCACACACAUUGCCAUUAUCCAACCUCACAAGUGGGAAGAGGCCUUCUUCAAUAGCAAGUAUUACCAUUCAUUGCAUGAUAUGUUGGUUUGUGAUGGAGAUAUGUGCAUUACAUUUGUGAUGCAUCCAAUGGGAGUGUUAGUGCUAGACUGCUAGCCAAGAUAACCAUAUUUGGAACAACAGCACUUUGAGAAGGGAAAAGGAACAUCUCCUUAAUUUAAAUAUGUUUAAGUUCAUUAAGUGGACUUGUGUGGUCCUUGAAAUGUAAAUUACAAAGUCAGUGUGGUGUAAUCAAAAGUGGCAGAUUUGUUAUUCAAUAAUACAACAUCUAAACAAACCUUUCUUUAUUGGCAUCAAAUAAACUAUUUUCAUUACGCAGAUUUA
Pectinophora gossypiella (pink bollworm) is the source of this 533-nucleotide long non-coding RNA. RefSeq lists it as uncharacterized. The record is from RefSeq and is a predicted model, not a curated record. The transcript is spliced from 3 exons. NCBI's taxonomy places the organism in Eukaryota, Metazoa, Arthropoda, Insecta, Lepidoptera, Gelechiidae.